ACUUUAAUAGACUAAUAUACCGUACAUAGAAAUAUAUAAAUGUGAUGGAUGUAAUAUAUAUCUUUCUGAAUUGGUGAGUAUUGAAUUUAUUUUUUCGUUAAUUGUAUAUUUUUAAAACACUUUUCAGAAAUAAAGACAUUAAUAACAAGUAGCAAAAAUAACGGGAGAAUAUUAUCAAAUACUUUCGUAUGCUUGUGAUAACAGUACAGAUAAUAUUACAACUAUUUUGUUUUAGGGGCUUGACUUUAAUUAUACAGAUAUUUAGCAGGACACGGAGAUUCUGAUGCAAAUAAUUAAAAAAAUGAAGACAUAAUACAUGAAUGAAAACUUUUGAGGCUACAACUAAAAAAGGAUAAUUAUCUGCAUAUAAAAACAGGUAUAAAUAGGUCAAACUGAUUUGUUUACAUUUUGUAUACAGGUGUGUGGAAAUGGCGAUGG
RNAcentral lists this long non-coding RNA (438 nucleotides) under Mytilus galloprovincialis (Mediterranean mussel). The record is from RNAcentral. Lineage: Eukaryota; Metazoa; Mollusca; Bivalvia; Mytilida; Mytilidae.